UGAUCCCGAGGUACCUGGGAGAGAAACGGACGGACAACAGGUGAACUCUGUGAUCGCAACCGGUCAACGGAGGAAGGACCGCCAGCCGGGCACCACCGCCAAUCCUCACAACAGCGCUUCUAGACCUCAAGAAAUGAGAUCACCUGGAUCCUUCCAGAGGAAAGGCAUCGUGAGAAAAAAUAUGACAGUACCCUUAAAUGGCCAGCUAGACUCAAUCAGGAUCCUCCAAACAAGGUUCUCGGUCACCAGAAAUCAGCAAGCUAUCCCCAACAGAGCCCACCAGCUUCCACACUGGUUGACCUCUCGGGCUGCUGGCUUCCUCUCCAUCUCAGACCUCUAAGGAUUCCUCCUGCUUUCCUGGCAGCUCAGCCAGGCAAUUAAAAUGAUACAUAUUUUUUUAAUUUUA
Microcebus murinus (gray mouse lemur) is the source of this 406-nucleotide non-coding RNA. NCBI's taxonomy places the organism in Eukaryota, Metazoa, Chordata, Mammalia, Primates, Cheirogaleidae. The record is from RefSeq and is a predicted model, not a curated record.